RNA transcript from Orcinus orca (killer whale), 1539 nucleotides. It is a transcript of the gene named NADH:ubiquinone oxidoreductase complex assembly factor 5, with no coding region annotated. The record is from RefSeq and is a predicted model, not a curated record. Lineage: Eukaryota; Metazoa; Chordata; Mammalia; Artiodactyla; Delphinidae. The transcript has 10 exons.
UGACGCGCAGCCGUAAUGGUACGCGAACUGGGCCAAACUUCAUCCGCUUUCCCUCGGCGAAGUUCUCCAGAGUCCUCGCUGAAGCUGCGGCGCAUGCGCACGAUAAAUGCGCCUGCAAACGGCGUUGCCGCUGGAGAUGCUGCGGCUGACCAGGUUCCCGACCCGGUGGCGGCGACCUCCGGCGGCAGGGGUCCCCGCGAAGAACGUCGGCUUCAGGAAGGUGGCCUCCGGCGUCUCUUCCCUGGGCAGCGCCUCGCCCAGAUCCCUAAACAUAUUCGAUCGGGAUUUGAAGAGGAAACAGAAGAACUGGGCGGCCCGGCAGCCUGAGCGGAUAAAGUUUGACUACCUGAAGGAGGAGGUUGGAAGUCGGAUUGCAGACCGUAUAUAUGACAUAGCCAGAGAUUUCCCCCUUGCUUUGGAUGUCAGUUGUGGAAGAGGUUAUAUAGCACAACAUUUGAAUAAGGAAACUGUUGGAAAGUUUUUCCAAACAGACAUUGCAGAAAAUGCUUUGAAAAAUGCCUUAGAAAUGGAAAUUCCUACUGUCAGUGUUUUAGCUGAUGAAGAAUUUCUUCCCUUCAGAGAAAAUAUAUUUGAUCUGGUGGUUAGCAGUUUAAGUUUGCACUGGGUGAAUGACCUUCCUAGAGCACUUGAACAGAUUCAUUGUGUUUUAAAACCAGAUGGAGUGUUUAUUGGUGCAUUGUUUGGAGGUGACACUCUCUAUGAACUCCGGUGUUCAUUACAGUUAGCGGAAACAGAAAGGGAAGGAGGAUUUUCUCCACACGUCUCUCCUUUCACUGCUGUCAAUGACCUAGGACAUCUGCUCGGGAGAGCCGGCUUUAAUACGCUGACUGUGGACACUGAUGAAAUUCAAGUUAACUAUCCUGGAAUGUUUGAAUUGAUGGAAGAUUUACAAGGGAUGGGUGAGAGUAACUGUGCUUGGAAUAGAAAAGCCCUCCUGCACCGAGACACAAUGCUGGCGGCUGCAGCAGUGUACAGAGGUAAGGGAGCUGACCGUUCUUCCCAGCCAGGUCCCACUGACCAACUUGUGCCCUGUCAUCUUUAUCCCCUAAAAUUACAUUUUCCUUUCCUGUUAGGGCACCAUCAGAUUUCUUGUCCUUCCUUUCAAAACGCAGAUCCUGUGGCUACGUAUCCUUUUUCCCAGCAGCCCUUACUAUUUCCUUACUGUCAGCUUCUCGGUGUGGAGGAUUUUUCACAAGAGGCAUUCUCAGAAUCCCAUGAGUAUUCUAAUAUUCAUUUCUCUUUGGAAGACAUGACUUUCAUUGAGCAGAUUUAUUUUUCCUACUUGCAUUCUUUUCAGACUCUAACCAUGAUUUGUCUUUAUAGAAAUGUACGGAAAUGAGGAUGGUUCUGUACCUGCCACCUAUCAGAUCUAUUACAUGAUAGGAUGGAAAUAUCAUGAUUCACAGGCGAGACCAGCUAAAAGAGGUUCGGCAACUGUGUCAUUUGGAGAGCUAGGAAAAAUAAAUGAUCUUAUGUCCCAGGGGAAAAAAUCACAAUAAAUAUUUUAUUCAAUGUUAA